Molecule: transfer RNA, 66 nt
Filed under: Tonicia forbesii
Lineage: Eukaryota; Metazoa; Mollusca; Polyplacophora; Chitonida; Chitonidae
Description: tRNA-Met
Source: RNAcentral
AAUAAAAUAAGCUAAAGACAAGCUAUUGGGUUCAUACCUCAAAUAUGAGAAAAUUCUCUUUUAUUA